Gorilla gorilla gorilla (western lowland gorilla) is the source of this 2251-nucleotide RNA transcript. RefSeq lists it as uncharacterized. The transcript is spliced from 6 exons. The record is from RefSeq and is a predicted model, not a curated record. NCBI's taxonomy places the organism in Eukaryota, Metazoa, Chordata, Mammalia, Primates, Hominidae.
GACGAUGUCAUCACGAGGCGACGCCGCCGCUAGCCACGCGCGCCCCGCGGCCCUCGGAGCUUUUGCAGGAGGCUUUGGUGGGGCCAAGCGGCUGCGGUGAGGACGAGGGAGGGGCUGUGGCGGCCGUAGCGCCCGAGCUCUUUCUGCGUUUAGGAGUUUUAGAGGCGCGGCCCAUGGCAGCGUGGCAGUCUUAGAGUUGCCGAGAUGCGAGCAUGCGCAAUGCGUGCCUGCCAGAGCGAGGGGAGGGUGGAACCUCCGCAUGGAGCAUGCGCCGUGCAUACCGGUGGAGGAGCGGAGUUCAGGAGGCCGGUCGGGUGAGCAUGCGCAGUGGCUGCCCGCGGGGCGCAAGCCGGAGGCUGGGAGAGACAGGGUCUCCUUCUGUUGCCCAGCUUGGAGCACACCUGUGUGAUCUCGGCUCGCUGCAGACUCCACCUCCCGGGUUCAAGCGAUCCUCCUGUCUCAGCCUCCCGAGUAGCUGGGAUUACAGGCACCCGCCACCACGCCCGGCUACUUUUGUAUUUUUAGUGGAGACGCGGUUUCACCAUGUUGGCCAGGCUGGUCUCGAACUCCCGACCUCGAGUGAUCCUCCCGCCUCGGCCUCCCAAAGUGCGGGGAUGACAGGCGUGAGCCAACUCGCCCGGCCACACAGUUGCCUUUUUAUGUGAUGCGCAUCAUGUAGAUGGAAGAGAAAUCAAACGGCCCCAUCUACCGGGGUGGGAUUGCAGCCUGUUCCAAUGUCUCAUUUAUUCCCUGGGUGCUGGGAGAGUCUCUGGGAUGACAAGACUGAUGGUUCCUGACCCAGGCCAGGGCAAUGCAUGACUUUUGACGCCUCGGAGAAGCUCUUCCUUCCUGGACUGUAUUCUGACACAGAGUGCGUCUGACGCUUUACCCAGCGGCGCCCAGAGCGACCUUCAUCGCGGCCACCGGCCAGCACCGUCUUCUGGAUCUUCAGCGGCUUGAGGAACUUUCUGUCCGCUUCUGGGUUGACUGAAUUUUUAUCGUGAAAAGGCACUGCCUUUGCUCAAAUGCUUUUCCUGCAUUUCUGCAAAUGGUCAUAAACGAGGUUUCACCAUGUUGGCCACGUUGAUCUCAAACUCCUCACCUCAGGUGAUCCACCCUCCUCAGCCUCCCAGAUGUGACUUUGCUCCUUCUUCAUCUUCCGCCAUGAUUGUGAGGCCUCCCCAGCCAUGUGGAACUAUCUCCGAGUCGAGAUCACGCACACCGUUUUCUAUAAUCCAGGGAUUUGGAGCCGCCGGAGGGAGAUGGAGUUUCACCAUGUUGGUCAGACUGGUCUCGAACUCCUCACCUCAAGCGAUCCACCCGCCUCGGCCUCCCAAAGCGCUGGGAUUCCAGGCGUGAGCCACCGCGCCCGGUGUAAUUCGUUCCCUUAACCGUAAACGUCUCCAGGCGAGGAAUGCUGAACUUUCUGAGAAGGCAGCCAGCAAGUUCCAGCCUCAUUUUCCAGCCGUCAGUCAAGAUGGAGUCACCGUGUUUCAUUCGCCUCUGACAACGGGUCCUCCCGGACGCCACGUGGCUUGUUCUGAAGCCGGGCCGGAGACACCGUCUGGACCCCACAGUGCUCCCCAGGGCCGCCUCCAAAAGGAUCCCACCCCAGGGAGCCGUGCAAACACCAUAAAUCCUGCUAAUUGCCACGUUCCCGGCAGCCAGAAUCCGUGGUCUCUCUAUAGUGGGCUCACGGUCUCCAGCCAAGAGCUCAAUCUUGCUUCUGGACAAAUAUUACCGAGAAAUGUCUGCAAACCCCGGCUGCCCGGCUCCCACAUCACAGGGGCUGCGUCUCAGAAAACAACUUGCUUCUGCCAAUCCACCCCCCACCACUGCCUCCCCGGGCACCUCGCCACACAGGACGCUCUGGCUUCCCGUAAGAACACCCGUGUCUGUGACCUGCGGGUGGGGUCACCUCCCCGGCCUACAUGCAAGACCCAGCACACAGGCCAGGACGUCAGGGUGUCGUGAGGGGCCGUCGGAGAACAUCUAAGGGACGUCCCUGCAUUCCUGGCUGGAGGUCCUGCACCAGCAGCCUCCGUGUGAGAAAACUUUCACUCUGCAAACUCUCAGAGCCCCCACCUGCUCCCGCCUCCCGUCUGUCCUGGUUCUUGGGACCCCGGAGCCUUCUCUGUCCAGACCUCCCAGGUCCUGACGGGAAUCCGGAUAAACUCGUUGGGGCGAAGGUGUUAACGGCAGGCCCCUGUCUAAUGUAUUUCGCCACCCAGAUAAAAUGAGUGUUUUCACA